Mastomys coucha (southern multimammate mouse) is the source of this 315-nucleotide long non-coding RNA. RefSeq lists it as uncharacterized. Lineage: Eukaryota; Metazoa; Chordata; Mammalia; Rodentia; Muridae. The record is from RefSeq and is a predicted model, not a curated record. The transcript has 3 exons.
UCUUGGAGUGCUGUCUUGGAACAGCUCACCAGAGCCUCAGUGUGGGCUGGAGGACACAUUCAUCUGCCCAGGCUCAAGGCCUUGUCUUACACUUGGCUCAUUUAUCGUUUCAAGAGAUUUGCAUCAUGGAGGUCAAAAGGAGCAAGCCGGGCCAGGCCUCACCUCAGCACCAGGCAAAGUUUCUGUCAACACCGGAUGCAGGAAUCAUCAGCCCAGCCAGAAUGUCCAAAGAGCUUUGGAAAGAUGCCGGUACCUGGUCUCACUGUACUAAAUGGAAAGUGUUCAGAUGCUACUUUCAAGAAGUAAAGCCUAAAG